GACGAACGCUGGCGGCGUGCCUAAUACAUGCAAGUCGAGCGAAUCAAUAGGAGCUUGCUCCUGUUGAUUAGCGGCGGACGGGUGAGUAACACGUGGGCAACCUGCCUGUAAGACUGGGAUAACUUCGGGAAACCGGAGCUAAUACCGGAUAAUCCUUUUCCUCUCAUGAGGAAAAGCUGAAAGUCGGUUUCGGCUGACACUUACAGAUGGGCCCGCGGCGCAUUAGCUAGUUGGUGAGGUAACGGCUCACCAAGGCGACGAUGCGUAGCCGACCUGAGAGGGUGAUCGGCCACACUGGGACUGAGACACGGCCCAGACUCCUACGGGAGGCAGCAGUAGGGAAUCUUCCGCAAUGGACGAAAGUCUGACGGAGCAACGCCGCGUGAGCGAUGAAGGCCUUCGGGUCGUAAAGCUCUGUUGUUAGGGAAGAACAAGUAUCGGAGUAACUGCCGGUACCUUGACGGUACCUAACCAGAAAGCCACGGCUAACUACGUG
This 496-nucleotide ribosomal RNA is filed under the name Bacillus sp. (in: firmicutes). RNAcentral's name for it is "bacterial SSU rRNA". It matches the Rfam family "Bacterial small subunit ribosomal RNA", at positions 28 to 507 of the family's 1533-position model. Lineage: Bacteria; Bacillati; Bacillota; Bacilli; Caryophanales; Bacillaceae. The record is from RNAcentral.